Long non-coding RNA from Orbicella faveolata, 1403 nucleotides. Lineage: Eukaryota; Metazoa; Cnidaria; Anthozoa; Scleractinia; Merulinidae. The record is from RefSeq and is a predicted model, not a curated record.
UUCAACGCGGCGCUGCGACCCUCGCAAUAAAGCAGACAUUUUGUUUUGUCCUAGUCAAAUGUGGCACCAAAAUUAUACCAUAAACAGAUGGAUGUACGUUGGGCAUUGUAGGUCAUGAAAUUUAACGAGUAAACGCCUGGGACGACGUCCAGUUUGACCAGAAGAAGCUCUACCAAGUCUUCUGUUGCCCACCAUAAGCCUGAAGAGACGCUCGAAGUUCUGAUCGAAGCUUCCAGGAGGCUUCGAACGCUUCGAAAACGGCCGAUUCUUGGAAUUGGAGGAUGCCCAGUGUCCCACUUCCAAGCCCAAGCUAUUCAACGGGGCGUCAUACUCCGUAUUAUACACAUCCUGAUGUAAGAAUACAUGAGUUGAACCGUCGCUUACAGCAUCGAAUAGAGGUAUGUAACCACCACUUUUAUUCCUUUACGGGCAAACAAAACUUUGGGAAUUUUUUUUCCGUGAGAUUCGUCACGAAGACUCUGUUUAGAAGUGUUCUCUAUGGGGUUCCAUGUACAAAGAAUUUGCUUUGAUUUUUUUUUUCUUUGGUAUGUAGCUUAGAUCUAUCUGAAGGCUCGAGAAGAUAAGGCAAAGGGGACUAACAUGUAAACAAGAACCUACCAUAAAUAUCUUUUAUUCAUUCGACAACUUAAGUGAUUGGAAAAUAUACUGUGCUUAUGUUUCUUUUUGUGCCCUGCAAAGAGAUAGGUUAAUAUUGAUCAUGACAAACCAGGAAAAAAUUGUGUAGUGUGUUAAGAAUGUUUAAACUUCUCUAAAAGAAUACAGUACUCCUAUGGAAUACAUGAAGUUCCUUUAAACCUAUUUUUGCGGUGAAGUGAACAGUUUAGUAUGCAUGUUGCCCCCAAAAAAGAUCUUGAUAACUAUUUAAGACUUACUGAAUAUACAACAAGGGCAAAAAUAUGUUAUUUUUGGUACAACCCAUUGUGGGCAUGUCACAUGUCAUAACAGUGUAAUUAAUCCUUUUAGAGAAAUAUGAGAAGCUCUUCCUGUUUGGUUGUUACAAUGUUAAUCUGACCAAGCCCAUCUACUGUUGUGCUGCUGUUCUUUACACUUGACAAGACCUUAUGUUUCCCAAUAUGUCAAAGACCCAUAAUUAUUAUCAUUCACAUGUACAACAUAUGGAUCUGUGAUACUAAGAUUGUCCUGUCUAAUGCAGUAAGUUCCAUGUGUUCUGUCCCCUUUCUCCCACUACAAAAUACAUUCACUAUUGUGAAACUUAACCCACCUUGUUUAUAAAACACUAGUGAAAGAAGGGGGGCUACUUUUAACGUAUGGUCAAUGUCAAAGUCUCCUAGCCAGUUAGUUUACAUAUUUGAAGAAUUUGAUUUCAGGUUAUCCAUCGCAGAUCAUCUGCUUCCUUGAUAUUUUUUUUGAAAAAAAAAAAA